Molecule: ribosomal RNA, 381 nt
Filed under: uncultured bacterium
Lineage: Bacteria
Description: bacterial SSU rRNA
Rfam family: Bacterial small subunit ribosomal RNA
Source: RNAcentral
AUUGAACGCUGGCGGCAUGCCUUACACAUGCAAGACGAACGGCAGCACGGGAGCAAUCCUGGUGGCGAGUGGCGAACGGGUGAGUAAUAUAUCGGAACGUGCCCGGUCGUGGGGAUAACGUAGCGAAAGCUACGCUAAUACCGCAUACGAUCUAUGGAUGAAAGCGGGGGAUCGCAAGACCUCGCGCGAUUGGAGCGGCCGAUAUCAGAUUAGGUAGUUGGUGAGGUAAAGGCUCACCAAGCCGACGAUCUGUAGCUGGUCUGAGAGGACGACCAGCCACACUGGGACUGAGACACGGCCCAGACUCCUACGGGAGGCAGCAGUGGGGAAUUUUGGACAAUGGGCGCAAGCCUGAUCCAGCAAUGCCGCGUGCAGGAUGAA